Molecule: long non-coding RNA, 1177 nt
Filed under: Equus caballus (horse)
Lineage: Eukaryota; Metazoa; Chordata; Mammalia; Perissodactyla; Equidae
Description: lncRNA (ENSECAG00000049123.1)
Source: RNAcentral
GGCUGGUUCUCCUCCUCCCACAUGCGUCUUUCCUGCUUGUUGACUUGCAUUGGACUGAUUUAGAACCAUGUUUGAUGCAUCUAGACUGGCAAGCCCAAGACGGAAGAAUCUGUGGAGAUGAGACUGUGAUGUGACUUCCGAAGAUAAGGAAGAGAUGGCUUGAAAGUAUGGCAUCACUUUGGUAUUUAGUGCAGUGAUGGGAUUGUCAUCACACUCAAUGUUUUGUAGCUGUUCCUGGUGCCUAGGGGAUAUUUAGCGAAGGCAAGGGAAAGGGAAGAUUUCAAGCAACAGACGGAUGGGAAGCCUUGAAAAUUUCGCCAAACCCGCCAGUCCCUCGCAUUCCUGUUUCUCGUGUUUCUUUGGUUAAAGCUUGGAAGCCGUUUGCAAUGGAAAGAGGCUGAGAUUUUAGAGGAAGGGGUUCAAACUCUUGCUCCUCCAUUCAAGACUUUUGUUGAGGAGCCGGCCUGGUGGCGCAGCGGUUAAGUUCGCACGUUCUGCUUCUCAGCGGCCCGGGGUUGGCCGGUUCGGAUCCUGGGUGUGGACAUGGCACCGCUUGGCACACCAUGCUGUGCCUUCAAGUCCUCAUCUGUAAAAGGAAAAAGAACAGGAGAACUCCUGGAAGGUCCAUACCAGACGCUGCAGACACUUGCUCAGUUGCCUGCGGAUGGAUUUGCUCUGGCUGCGGGUAAGGUGUGUGUCUUCUCCACACUUCCGUUCUCUCCACUUUCUCUUUGAAACGCCUCAGGGAUAAUUCUCAGGAAUAAAUGCUAAUAAAAAUAGCAACAGCAAUAAAACCACUGCAACGACAAUAAUAAAAGCUAAUAUUUAUUUACAACCUGCCAGGCACCAGGCUAAAUGCUUUACCCGGGACUCCUUCUUUGCUCGUCACCACCAUUUUGCAAGGGAGCAGCUGUUCGCCCCAUAUUACUGAUAAGAGACCAAGAUGAGUUAAGAAACUUGAUCAAGAUCACACCGUUAUGCGUCUAAGUGGCAGUAAGAACUUGUUUCACAGGAUGUCUCAGAUAGAUGCUAAUAAAGCCUUUUGGAUACAUAAAGGAAUAAAUUAUGGUUAAUCUCUACUUCAAAAUGAAAAAGAACUGAAAGGAAAUGGAAAGAAAGAAAAUUUUAACUACAGAAUUAAAUAAAUGAAAAGAAUUUCCUGUAACCUCUAGUCAAC